AGACCCAGACCUGAGAUUUUCAGGUGUUUUCAUUUGGUGAUCAGGACGGAACACAGAGGACGCACCAUGGAGUUUGGGCUAAGCUGGGUUUUUCUUGUUGCUCUUUUAAAAGGUGUCCAGUGUGAGGUGCAGCUGGUGGAGUCUGGGGGAGGCUUGGUACAGCCUGAGGGGUCCCUGAAACUCUCCUGUGCAGUCUCUGGAUUCACCUUCAGUGACUACUACAUGCACUGGGUCCGCCAGGCUCCAGGGAAGGGGCUGGAGUGGGUCUCACGUAUUAGUAGUGGUAGCGGUGGUAGCACAUGGUACCCAGACUCUGUGAAGGGCCGAUUCACCAUCUCCAGAGACAACGCCCAGAACACGCUGUAUCUGCAAAUGAACAGCCUGAGAGCUGAGGACACGGCUGUGUAUUACUGUGCGAGAGACACAUUGAGGAGAAGUCAGUGUGAGCCCAGACACAAACCUCCCUGCAGAAACGUUCAGGGGAAAUCAGCGGCAGGGGGCGCUCAGGACCCACUGAUCAGAGUCAACCCAGAGGCAGGUGCAAUGGAGGUUGA
This is an RNA transcript of Rhinopithecus roxellana (golden snub-nosed monkey), 554 nucleotides long. It is a transcript of the gene named immunoglobulin heavy variable 3-23-like, with no coding region annotated. The transcript is spliced from 2 exons. NCBI's taxonomy places the organism in Eukaryota, Metazoa, Chordata, Mammalia, Primates, Cercopithecidae. The record is from RefSeq and is a predicted model, not a curated record.